Molecule: ribosomal RNA, 880 nt
Filed under: uncultured bacterium
Lineage: Bacteria
Description: bacterial SSU rRNA
Rfam family: Bacterial small subunit ribosomal RNA
Source: RNAcentral
AAAGCGAGCGGCGGAUGGGUGAGUAACACGUGGGGAACCUGCCCCUAAGUCUGGGAUACCAUUUGGAAACAGGUGCUAAUACCGGAUAAUAAAGCAGAUCGCAUGAUCAGCUUUUGAAAGGCGGCGUAAGCUGUCGCUAAGGGAUGGCCCCGCGGUGCAUUAGCUAGUUGGUAAGGUAACGGCUUACCAAGGCGACGAUGCAUAGCCGAGUUGAGAGACUGAUCGGCCACAUUGGGACUGAGACACGGCCCAAACUCCUACGGGAGGCAGCAGUAGGGAAUCUUCCACAAUGGACGCAAGUCUGAUGGAGCAACGCCGCGUGAGUGAAGAAGGUUUUCGGAUCGCAAAGCUCUGUUGUUGGUGAAGAAGGAUAGAGGUAGUAACUGGCCUUUAUUUGACGGUAAUCAACCAGAAAGUCACGGCUAACUACGUGCCAGCAGCCGCGGUAAUACGUAGGUGGCAAGCGUUGUCCGGAUUUAUUGGGCGUAAAGCGAGCGCAGGCGGAAAAAUAAGUCUAAUGUGAAAGCCCUCGGCUUAACCGAGGAACUGCAUCGGAAACUGUUUUUCUUGAGUGCAGAAGAGGAGAGUGGAACUCCAUGUGUAGCGGUGGAAUGCGUAGAUAUAUGGAAGAACACCAGUGGCGAAGGCGGCUCUCUGGUCUGCAACUGACGCUGAGGCUCGAAAGCAUGGGUAGCGAACAGGAUUAGAUACCCUGGUAGUCCAUGCCGUAAACGAUGAGUGCUAAGUGUUGGGAGGUUCCCGCCUCUCAGUGCUGCAGCUAACGCAUUAAGCACUCCGCCUGGGGAGUACGACCGCAAGGUUGAAACUCAAAGGAAUUGACGGGGGGCCCGCACAAGCGGUGGAGCAUGUGGUUUAAUUC